RNAcentral lists this ribosomal RNA (253 nucleotides) under uncultured bacterium. RNAcentral describes it as "partial 16S ribosomal RNA". It matches the Rfam family "Bacterial small subunit ribosomal RNA", at positions 524 to 776 of the family's 1533-position model. The record is from RNAcentral.
UACGUAGGGGGCGAGCGUUGUCCGGAUUCAUUGGGCGUAAAGCGCGCGCAGGCGGCUGGGCAAGUCGGCCGUGAAAUCUCCGGGCUUAACUCGGAGGGGUCGGGCGAGACUGCACAGCUCGAGGCCGGUAGGGGGAAGUGGAAUUCCCGGUGUAGUGGUGGAAUGCGUAGAUAUCGGGAGGAACACCAGUGGCGAAGGCGGCUUCCUGGACCGGUUCUGACACUGAGGAGCGAAAGCGUGGGGAGCGAUCCGG